AUUGAACGCUGGCGGCAGGCCUAACACAUGCAAGUCGAGCGGAUGAAGGGAGCUUGCUCCUGGAUUCAGCGGCGGACGGGUGAGUAAUGCCUAGGAAUCUGCCUGGUAGUGGGGGAUAACGUCCGGAAACGGGCGCUAAUACCGCAUACGUCCUGAGGGAGAAAGUGGGGGAUCUUCGGACCUCACGCUAUCAGAUGAGCCUAGGUCGGAUUAGCUAGUUGGUGGGGUAAAGGCCUACCAAGGCGACGAUCCGUAACUGGUCUGAGAGGAUGAUCAGUCACACUGGAACUGAGACACGGUCCAGACUCCUACGGGAGGCAGCAGUGGGGAAUAUUGGACAAUGGGCGAAAGCCUGAUCCAGCCACGCCGCAUGUGUGAAGAAGGUCUUCGGAUUGUAAAGCACUUUAAGUUGGGAGGAAGGGCAGUAAGUUAAUACCUUGCUGUUUUGACGUUACCAACAGAAUAAGCACCGGCUAACUUCGUG
Molecule: ribosomal RNA, 484 nt
Filed under: uncultured bacterium
Lineage: Bacteria
Description: partial 16S ribosomal RNA
Rfam family: Bacterial small subunit ribosomal RNA
Source: RNAcentral